This is a long non-coding RNA of Papaver somniferum (opium poppy), 2344 nucleotides long. RefSeq lists it as uncharacterized. The record is from RefSeq and is a predicted model, not a curated record. The transcript is spliced from 2 exons. NCBI's taxonomy places the organism in Eukaryota, Viridiplantae, Streptophyta, Magnoliopsida, Ranunculales, Papaveraceae.
GUAUCAACUUGCGGGUGUGAUCUCUCCCUCCCCUCCCAGCUCCAUAGAGCAUCUACGCAUCCAAUGGUUGUGGUAGUAGGGGUUGAUCAACUUCCUUCACUGUGUGUUUCAUUUAUUUUCCGUCUUCAAUACCAUAGACCCUCUUUAUCAUCGAAAACAGAAAAUGGAUCGAAUGAGUUUCUCAUCAAAACAGAAAAUGGAUCGAAUGAGUUUCUCAUCAAUUUUGUAGUGUUGCGAAUUCAGCGAUUACGUUUCCUGAGAUAUUCCCCUCUAUUCUUCUAAUCAAUUGUUCUAAAACCCUAUCAAAUUUUACUUGCUUUUUUUUGUUCUCCAGAUCAAAUUCUGGAAAUAAGACCUCCGAUUAGGUUUUGUUGUUGUUCAUAGCAAAAUAAGUAGGAGCAUUCGAAUCAAAACUAAGGUUUUCCACUUCUGUUAUUAGUUCACUUUCACAAUUAUACUAUCUUCGUCAUACUAAUUUAUUCAGGGUUAUAAUGGUGGAAGCGAUGAAGAUGCCUGCUGAAGCUCUUGACGGAAAAAAAAUCUGUAGAUGAAACUGCAUCUACUCUUUCGCAACAACAACCUCCAUCUGUAAACUUCAUUCUGAUUUUUGAUCUGCUAUUGAUUUUUUGUUUAGCAGCUGGGCGUGGUGCCGAAAGAGGUGAAUGAGUGACGGAGUAUCAAAAAAAAAAAAAAAUUCACAACUGUACAUAAGACUGUCGUUCUGCUUCAAGUUGAUGGUGUGAAUUUUAUUGCAGAAUUCUUUGCUAAGCUUGAAGACAGAAGGUAAAUAACAACAGAAAAGUGAUUAUUCCCCUGAAGUGUUUGAGAAAAUGCUUGAAAAAGAGUUCUACCUGGAAAGAUUACGAUUAGAACUCUCAUUGCUAGGCUGUGGAAGUAAUGAGGUAAGUGUUUCCAUUGAAUUGUGUAAGAAGAUGGUGAAUGGGAAUGAUUUGUUUACUGCUACCGUAAAUGGUCAUUGCAAAGGCGUUUUAAUCGGUUGGGCUUUUAGUUUCUUCUUUGAAAUGGUUAGUGAUUGGAGCAUUCCUCCUAUGUGUUCCUUUACAGAUUUCUGAUUAAUAUACUUUAUGUUUCUGGGGGAUUAAGUACAGUCAUAAGAACCUCGACCAUUGGAAUUUUAAGUGCAAGUUCAUAAGAACAUAGAGAGUGGUGCAAAAAAUCCUGAGAUUGCAUACAAAAAUACAUUGCAGGAUGGUUUUCAAGGUUUUAGUUUUCAGGAGUUCUGGCCAGACUCUGAAUUAAAUAAGUCUUUAGUUUCUUAUUGCUGAAAUUUAAGAUGCAUGGUUGAUAGUAUGAAAGUGACCUCUAGCUUUCUGCUUCUUCUUUUUCCCAAGGAAACACAAUGAGACAUUGUAAUUGCAGAUGUGUCUGGACUAUUUAAGGAUAAGUUUAGUUUUCUUAGGUACAUGUUCUGUCUGGGGCUUCCCAAAUUGAGAGAUUGAAAUUUGGACUAUUCAUGGUCCAAACACAAUCAGAGAUUGUAAUUUGGACUAUUGAUAGGAUAAGUUCAGUUUUCAGAAUGAUUCAACGUGUUAAGGUGAUAUUUAAGGUAUUGAAAAAUAUUUUGAAUUUGAUUCAGAAAAAAUAAGAAGAUUUUUAGUUUUCCGAAGUAAAUUGCAGAUGACUAACCAUAGCUACUCAGUAAUGUUCUUCUUCUUCUUCACCUGUUGGUGUAAGGAAACAAGUAAUAGAGUUACUUCUUUCGAAUUACUAUUAUAGUUAGAUCUUCCUGAUUAUGUAUAGUUAUAAUUAUCUUUCUCUUUUACAUGGAUACUGUGGUACUGCUUAUUAUCUGAGUUGUAAAGCUAAGUUUGACGAAGUUUUCCCUAAUGUGAAUGGUAUGGAUAAAUUUUAUACGUUUUCUGGAUUCCUGGGGGUUUUCGAGGAGGGUGAAAUUUUUCAUGAGCAAGAAUUCAAGGAGUCUGUUGAACUGUCGUCCAAAGAGGCUCUUAAAGAGGAUGACCAAGAAGAUGACCGUGAAGAUGGGUUAUUGGAAGAAAAGAAUAGAGUGUCUGUGAACCAAGGAGAAGACAAUUUCUUAGAGAAAUGGGAGACUGGGGAUGAAGAUGAACUAAAAAGGAAUUAUGAAGGGUCGAGCAACAGUAGCAUGAGUAUCAAACAGGGUGAGAAUUUUCCACGCCUAACAAAAAGAGACUCACAUUUGCAGCUUCUGAAUUUUCAGCGGUUAGAAACAUCUGCUGUGAUGGCAGUUGGAUUGCAAGAGUUAUUAAGCUCCAUCGACAAUAAAUUAGAUUCAUAAGGAGUGGUUGAAAAGAGAACGAUGCUUGCUUCAAUCUUAAAUGGAUACCUCUGAUGGUUUUUCAAA